Molecule: ribosomal RNA, 506 nt
Filed under: uncultured bacterium
Lineage: Bacteria
Description: partial 16S ribosomal RNA
Rfam family: Bacterial small subunit ribosomal RNA
Source: RNAcentral
GAUGAACGCUAGCGGCAGGCCUAACACAUGCAAGUCGAGGGGCAGCACAGGAAAGUAGUAAUACUUUUGGGUGGCGACCGGCGGACGGGUGCGUAAAGCGUAUACAACCUGCCUUCUACUGGGGGAUAAUUCGGAGAAAUCUGGUCUAAUACCCCAUAACAACCGAUGAUGCAUCUCAUUGGUUUAAAAGCUCCGGCGGUAGAAGACGGGUAUGCGUUACGUUAGAUAGUUGGUGGGGUAACGGCUCACCAAGUCGACGAUGUCUAGGGGGACUGACAGGUUAACCCCCCACACUGGUACUGAGGCACGGACCAGACUCCUACGGGAGGCAGCAGUGAGGAAUAUUGGUCAAAGGACGCAAGUCUGAACCAGCCAUGCCGCGUGCAGGAAGACGGCUCUAUGAGUUGUAAACUGCUUUUGAACGAGGGUAAACCCAGGGACGUGUCCUUGGUUGAAAGUAACGUACGAAUAAGGAUCGGCUAACUCCGUGCCAGCAGCCGCAGUAA